CUGUUUUGGUUUCAUGUACCUAGAGGAAGUCAACAGCAGCUAUAGGCAAAUUUGUAAGGAUUUUAACAUUGAUAUUGAUAGUAAAGAUACACUGUUGGAGAAAAUAAAAUUGGAGUUGAAGGAGCUUCAGCAGCAAACAUCGCCUGGCCAAAGAAAUUGACAGCGUCCUCUCCUGCAAGUUAGUAGCUUCCUCACAGUUAGACCGGCUUCUCCUGCAUAAUGUCAUACUUAGGUCAGAGUUUGAGUGAUUUCAGGAUAAGCAGGUUGACUUGGAAAAUAAAAGCUUUGUUGUCAUAUUUCUUAGUUUUGUUUUUGGUUGGCUAGCCAUAGCUAAAUUGUCUAAAGGUCAUGCACAAGGUCACGGUCGGUCAUAUGGUCGGUGGACUCUGUUGUCCCAUCCUCGCCCGAUCUACCUUCUCCUCCGUGUGGUUCUUCAGCUUCACCUGUAGUUUCAGCGGUAGCGUCUUGCUGGUGGCCGUGAAUUUUUUGCCAACCGUGGUAUAUUUUAUGGCUCUUUCAAGGAAGCUUGGCAAGUCCGUGAAUUGGCUGGUGAUGACAGUGAGUGGUUUCGCUUAUUUGAUGAAGCCAUUCAGUGGGCUUCUUCUUUCCGGCUUAGACAUCUAUUUAUGACAGUAUUGUUACUAUGUGGUUUUACCAAUGAGUCAAGAUUGCUUGAUAAAUAUUGGCGGUA
This is a long non-coding RNA of Lolium perenne, 691 nucleotides long. RefSeq lists it as uncharacterized. Lineage: Eukaryota; Viridiplantae; Streptophyta; Magnoliopsida; Poales; Poaceae. The record is from RefSeq and is a predicted model, not a curated record.